Molecule: ribosomal RNA, 466 nt
Filed under: uncultured bacterium
Lineage: Bacteria
Description: partial 16S ribosomal RNA
Rfam family: Bacterial small subunit ribosomal RNA
Source: RNAcentral
GACGAACGCUGGCGGCGCGCCUAACACAUGCAAGUCGAACGAGCGAGAGAGAGCUUGCUUUCUCAAGCGAGUGGUAAACGGGUGAGUGACGCUAGAGGGACCUGCCCCUACGAGGGGGACAACAGUUGGAAACGACAGCUAAUACCGCAUCCGCCCACGACCCGGCAUCGGGUAGCGGGAAAAGGAGCAAUCCGCGUUGCGAUGGCCUGGCGUCCGAUUCGCUAGUUGGUGCGGUAACGGCACACCAACGCGACGAUCGGUAGCCGGACUGAGAGGUUGAGCCCGCACAUCAGGACUGAGACACGGCCCAGACUCUUACGGUAGGCAGCAGGGGGGAAUAUUGCACAAGGGGGGAACGCCUGAGGUAGCGACGCCGUGGGGAGGAAGAAGGUAUUCGGAGUGUAAACUCCGGUUGUUGUGGAAGCUAUUGACGGUACUCAACAAGGAAGUGACGGCUAACUACGUG